RNAcentral lists this long non-coding RNA (4214 nucleotides) under Oncorhynchus kisutch (coho salmon). RNAcentral's name for it is "lncRNA (ENSOKIG00005040008.1)". The record is from RNAcentral. Lineage: Eukaryota; Metazoa; Chordata; Actinopteri; Salmoniformes; Salmonidae.
GGAUGAUAAUUAUUAUGAUUGUUGCAAUUAAAGAAAUAGAUGAAGGGUAUACAGUGUAUAUAUAUAUCAAACUGUUAUGAUUGCAUUAUAACUUCAGAAGUUUAUACUCAUCAUAUUCCCACAGGUAUUGUGACUGAGACGUCAUGGCUUGUGCAGACAUCCCUAUGGACAUCCUGGGUCCUGAAUCUGAGGAGCAGGAGUACGAGGAGGCCGGUGACCAGAGAGGAGAAACACUGAUCAAUUAUUACCAAGCAACUGAACUAAUGCCUGCUCCCAAAGGACCACUCCAUGACCUGUUGCUGAAGCAGCCUGCUGUGUUGGGGUCUUUGCAGAUGACGAGCGGUCUACUCAGUGUUGCAGUCGGAGUUGUGUUUGCUGCCACUCGGGAUGCGAGCCAGUCCCUUUUAACCACGUUCAGAGUCGCGCCCUUCACUGGACUACUAUUCUUCAUCGCUGGGUUGUUAUCCAACCUGUUGUUCAAAUUCCCCAGACUAUUACCUGUCUGCCUGUGUGUCAACAUCGGCAGCAUGGUCGUAGCAGUAGUUGGAGGAGUGUUGAUAUGCGUUGAUUUGGGCAUGGACAUGCCUACCUGGAAUCCCAAUCUUCAACAUCAUAUAAAGCUGGAGGUGCUGAUGCUCUGUGUGUUGGUCAUGGAGGUGACCCUCUCUGCUGUCCUCUCCUUCUGGAUCCGGGGAGCGAAACGCCACCAUUCACUGUGAACUGUUAUCUGUCUGCCAGCUAUUCAUGGACGACCACAUCCAAAUAUAUUGGUGUUUAAAAAAUGAAAUGAUAGUGAGCGAGGAAGACAAUGGGGGAAGAUAUGCUGAGUCCAAGGGCGGCGCCCGCAGUAAAGGGACUUAUCAUUAUAAUGUUGUCUCUACUUGACUGUAAAUGAACUAACAUCUGAAUUUCCAGGAUAGAGAGUACUCUAAAAACGGUUUAGCUUUGACCAUCAGUAUGUGCCUGAAUGUAUGAGAAAGUACAGCAGCCUCAGAUAUCUUUACCCACUAUCCAGCCUAUGUAGGCCAGCGGUGAGUCCUCAUCAAGGGGCUUGACUCACCGCCCCUACACCUAUCUGUGGGUUUUAGAGUACUGUCUCAACCUCGGUGAUUGCCUGCCUGCCUGCCUGCCUCCCUGCCUGCCUCCCUGCCUGCCUCCCUGCCUGCCUCCCUGCCUGUCUGCCUGCCUCCCUGUCUGCCUGCCUGCCUGCCUGCCUGCCUGCCUGCCUGCCUCCCUGCCUGUCUGCCUGCCUCCCUGCCUGCCUCCCUGCCUGUCUGCCUGCCUGCCUGCCUGCCUGCCUGCCUGCCUGCCUGCCUGCCUGCCUGCCUCCCUGCCUGCCUGCCUGCCUGUCUGCCUGCCUGCCUGCCUGCCUCCCUGCCUGCCUGCCUGCCUGUCUGCCUGCCUGCCUGCCUGCCUGCCUGCCUCCCUGCCUGCCUGCCUGCCUGCCUGCCUGCCUGCCUUCCUGCCUGCUACGAGGCCUGUCUGUGUGGUUCUUUCUGACCAGAUUGGUUGUGGUCUAACUCUGCUGCGUAGCUACACACACACACACGCAUGCACGCACGCAAACACACAGCGUAGCUACACACUCCACUCAGACUGAGAACAACAGUCUUGUGGUCAAAACUAGAAUGCGUCCCAAAUGGCACCCUAUUCCCUAUUUAGUGCAUAACUUCUGACCAGGGCAGGGUAGUGCACAACAAUAUAGGGAAUAGGGUGCCAUUUGGGACACGGACAUAUUGUGUUCUCGGAGGUGUCGAGGCAACCAUUCUUCAUUAGCGUUGCCUCCUCAUUGGUUCGUUGUUCCCUAUUUCAACCAGUGUGAGUUCUUCCUGUGUGACUCUAUCUAUCUCAGUGUGUGUUUGCAGGGGUCUGGUUGUGGUUAAUGAUAAGAGUGUGUCUGUAUCUAGCAGUAGCUUUAGGCGCUAACUGUAAAGGCUGACAGCAUCAGUACAUAGCUUAAGCCUACCAGUUGACAGUUUGAAACAGAGACAUUUUCCAAACAAAGCCCCCUAUGUUGUUGUUGUUUUCAACUGCUCACAUGUGGUCAUCUAACAGACUGGUAUCCAGAGAGAGUGCUUUGUCUUGCUCGCUUCAAACACUGUAAUUGUUGUUUGAGUAAAAAUCAUUUCCAUAUUAGGCAUUGAGAAAAAGCUGAAGUAAUAUCAUGUCAGAUGUAGCUGUGGUGCUAAACAUCAAAGAGCUUUUCAAUAUCCUGUUUAAUACUCUGUACAGAGAGACACAUAGUACUGGUAACGAUAAGAACAGCCAGAGAGACACAUAGUACUGGUAACGAUAAGAACAGCCAGAGAGACACAUAGUACUGGUAACGAUAAGAACAGCCAGAGAGACACAUAGUACUGGUAACGAUAAGAACAGCCAGAGAGACACAUAGUACUGGUAACGAUAAGAACAGCCAGAGAGACACAUAGUCCUGGUAACGAUAAGAACAGCCAGACAGACACAUAGUACUGGUAACGAUAAGAACAGCCAGAGAGACACAUAGUACUGGUAACGAUAAGAACAGCCAGACAGACACAUAGUACUGGUAACGAUAAGAACAGCCAGAGAGACACAUAGUACUGGUAACGAUAAGAACAGCCAGAGAGACACAUAGUCCUGGUAACGAUAAGAACAGCCAGAGAGACACAUAGUCCUGGUAACGAUAAGAACAGCCAGAGAGACACAUAGUACUGGUAACGAUAAGAACAGCCAGACAGACACAUAGUACUGGUAACGAUAAGAACAGCCAGAGAGACACAUAGUCCUGGUAACGAUAAGAACAGCCAGAGAGACAGGGAAAUGUCACUUGUUCUGACGCCUCGGUCACACCGACAGAGUCAUUGCGCAAAAUGUUACGCAGCAUCAUCUGGAUAUGUGUGUAACAAAAGUUCAACAUUCACCUUUCGGCUACCGUUUCUGUCAAGCCGACUACACAUACAGUUUGAUUAAGUUCUAUAAAUCCAACGCACCACACAGAACACACUGCAACUGCCUCGGCAAGGCAAUGCUGCAGGACAAACGCAGCUUUUCAUUGGAAAUGAAUGUAGUUCUGGUGGACCAAAAUGCAAUGAUACUGUCGGUGUGAUGGAGGUGUUAAUUAACAGAAUAGCUGGUAGUGAAUCUCCACUAGCGUCUGUCUGGCUGUCUGCUGAAUAGCUGGUAGUGAAUCCCCACUAGCAUCUGUCUGGCUGUCUUCUGAAUAGCUGGUAGUGAAUCCCCACUAGCGUCUGUCUGGCUGUCUGCUGAAUAGCUGGUAGUGAAUCCCCACUAGCGUCUGUCUGGCUGUCUGCUGAAUAGCUGGUAGUGAAUCCCCACUAGCGUCUGUCUGGCUGUCUGCUGAAUAGCUGGUAGUGAAUCCCCACUAGCGUCUGUCUGGCUGUCUGCUGAAUAGCUGGUAGUGAAUCCCCACUAGCGUCUGUCUGGCUGUCUGCUGAAUAGCUGGUAGUGAAUCCCCACUAGCGUCUGUCUGGCUGUCUGCUGAAUAGCUGGUAGUGAAUCCCCACUAGCGUCUGUCUGGCUGUCUGCUGAAUAGCUGGUAGUGAAUCCCCACUAGCGUCUGUCUGGCUGUCUGCUGAAUAGCUGGUAGUGAAUCCCCACUAGCGUCUGUCUGGCUGUCUGCUGAAUAGCUGGUAGUGAAUCCCCACUAGCGUCUGUCUGGCUGUCUGCUGAAUAGCUGGUAGUGAAUCCCCACUAGCGUCUGUCUGGCUGUCUGCUGAAUAGCUGGUAGUGAAUCCCCACUAGCGUCUGUCUGGCUGUCUGCUGAAUAGCUGGUAGUGAAUCCCCACUAGCGUCUGUCUGGCUGUCUGCUGAAUAGCUGGUAGUGAAUCCCCACUAGCGUCUGUCUGGCUGUCUGCUGAAUAGCUGGUAGUGAAUCCCCACUAGCGUCUGUCUGGCUGUCUGCUGAAUAGCUGGUAGUGAAUCCCCACUAGCGUCUGUCUGGCUGUCUGCUGAAUAGCUGGUAGUGAAUCCCCACUAGCGUCUGUCUGGCUGUCUGCUGAAUAGCUGGUAGUGAAUCCCCACUAGCGUCUGUCUGGCUGUCUGCUGAAUACUUUCCAUCUGUUUGCUUCCUUGAAUAAAACAUAAUAAAACAAAGCUUCUACAUUAUAAACAGUGAUACAUAUCUAGUUCAUUAAAACACAUAUACAGUCAGAACGCCACGUACCAGCAUUGGUGAAACUAUUUCUUUAAGUACUGCAUACAUAGCAAUGUUAAAU